GAUGAACGCUGGCGGCGUGCCUAAUACAUGCAAGUCGAGCGAACGGACGAGAAGCUUGCUUCUCUGAUGUUAGCGGCGGACGGGUGAGUAACACGUGGAUAACCUACCUAUAAGACUGGGCUAACUUCGGGAAACCGGAGCUACUACCGGAUAAUAUUUUGAACCGCAUGGUUCAAAAGUGAAAGACGGUCUUGCUGUCACUUAUAGAUGGAUCCGCGCUGCAUUAGCUAGUUGGUAAGGUAACGGCUUACCAAGCCAACGAUGCAUAGCCGACCUGAGAGGGUGAUCGGCCAGGCUGGGACUGAGACCCGGUCCAGACUCCUACGGGAUGCAGCCAUAGGGAAUCUACCCAAAUGCGCGCAAGCCUGACGGAGCAACGCCGCGUGAGUGAUGAGGGUCCUCGGAUCGUAAAACUCUUUUAUUAGGGAAGAACAUAUGUGUAAGUAUCUGUGCACAUCUUGACGGUACCUAAACAGAACGGCACGGCUUACUACGUG
Molecule: ribosomal RNA, 497 nt
Filed under: uncultured bacterium
Lineage: Bacteria
Description: partial 16S ribosomal RNA
Rfam family: Bacterial small subunit ribosomal RNA
Source: RNAcentral